RNAcentral lists this ribosomal RNA (515 nucleotides) under uncultured bacterium. RNAcentral describes it as "bacterial SSU rRNA". It matches the Rfam family "Bacterial small subunit ribosomal RNA", at positions 355 to 891 of the family's 1533-position model. The record is from RNAcentral.
UGGGGAAUAUUGGACAAUGGGCGAAAGCCUGAUCCAGCCAUGCCGCGUGAAUGAUGAAGGCCUUAGGGUUGUAAAGUUCUUUCGUUGGUGAAGAUAAUGACGGUAACCAAAGAAGAAGCCCCGGCUAACUUCGUGCCAGCAGCCGCGGUAAUACGAAGGGGGCUAGCGUUGUUCGGAAUCACUGGGCGUAAAGCGCGCGUAGGCGGUCUAUCAAGUCAGAGGUGAAAGCCUGGAGCUUAACUCCAGAACUGCCUUUGAAACUGAUAGACUGGAGUCUUGGAGGGGUAGUGGAAUUCCUAGUGUAGAGGUGAAAUUCGUAGAUACUAGGAGGAACACCGGUGGCGAAGGCGGCUACCUGGACAAGUACUGACGCUGAGGCGCGAAAGCGUGGGGAGCAAACAGGAUUAGAUACCCUGGUAGUCCACGCCGUAAACGAUGAGUGCUAGCCGUUGGAGCUCAGGCUUCGGUGGCGCAGCUAACGCAUUAAGCACUCCGCCUGGGGAGUACGGUCGCAA